RNAcentral lists this small RNA (29 nucleotides) under Bombyx mori (domestic silkworm). RNAcentral describes it as "ovarian small RNA-34856". The record is from RNAcentral. Lineage: Eukaryota; Metazoa; Arthropoda; Insecta; Lepidoptera; Bombycidae.
UGGCGAAGAAUGCUCCGCCUAUCGUGGAU